AACGAACGCUGGCGGCAGGCCUAACACAUGCAAGUCGAGCGAGGUAGCAAUACCUAGCGGCGGACGGGUGAGUAACGCGUGGGAACGUACCCUUUGCUACGGAAUAGCCCCGGGAAACUGGGAGUAAUACCGUAUGUGCCCUUCGGGGGAAAGAUUUAUCGGCAAAGGAUCGGCCCGCGUUGGAUUAGGUAGUUGGUGAGGUAAUGGCCUACCAAGCCUACGAUCCAUAGCUGGUUUGAGAGGAUGAUCAGCAACACUGGGACUGAGACACGGCCCAGACUCCUACGGGAGGCAGCAGUGGGGAAUCUUAGACAAUGGGCGCAAGCCUGAUCCAGCCAUGCCGCGUGAGUGAUGAAGGCCUUAGGGUUGUAAAGCUCUUUCAGAUGGGAAGAUAAUGACGGUACCAUCAGAAGAAGCCCCGGCUAACUCCGUGCCAGCAGCCGCGGUAAUGUCGUACG
Molecule: ribosomal RNA, 458 nt
Filed under: uncultured bacterium
Lineage: Bacteria
Description: bacterial SSU rRNA
Rfam family: Bacterial small subunit ribosomal RNA
Source: RNAcentral